GCCUAGGAACUGCCGGUAGUGGGGGAAACGUCUCGAAAGGACGCUAAUACCGCAUACGUCCUACGGGAGAAAGCAGGGGAGCUUCGGGCCUGCGCUAUCAGAUGAGCCUAGGUCGGAGUAGCUAGCCGGUGGGGUAACGGCUCACCAAGGCGACGAUCCGUAACUGGUCUGAGAGGAUGAUCAGUCACACUGGAACUGAGACACGGUCCAGACUCCUACGGGAGGCAGCAGUGGGGAAUAUUGGACAAUGGGCGAAAGCCUGAUCCAGCCAUGCCGCGUGUGUGAAGAAGGUCUUCGGAUUGUAAAGCACUUUAAGUUUGGGAGGAAGGGCAUUAACCUAAUACGUUAGUGUUUUGACGUCUACCGACAGAAUAAGCACCGGCUAACUCUGUGCCAGCAGCCGCGGUAAUACAGAGGGUGCAAGCGUUAAUCGGAAUUACUGGGCGUAAAGCGCGCGUAGGUGGUUUGUUAAGUUGGAUGU
RNAcentral lists this ribosomal RNA (481 nucleotides) under Pseudomonas sp. RNAcentral describes it as "bacterial SSU rRNA". It matches the Rfam family "Bacterial small subunit ribosomal RNA", at positions 115 to 595 of the family's 1533-position model. Lineage: Bacteria; Pseudomonadati; Pseudomonadota; Gammaproteobacteria; Pseudomonadales; Pseudomonadaceae. The record is from RNAcentral.